AUGUCGUUCGCUGGCGUAUCCGUCGUUGCCGGCGGUGGCGGCCGCGGCAGGCCGUCCGCGGAGUCGGACAUGAUCUACUCCGGCUCCAUCGCGGCCAGCAGAGGCAGCUGCUACUAUCACCUGCUUGUGGUGGAAGGCUACUCCCGCAUCAAGGACCUGCCCAAUGGAGGCACAAUCAUGGGCCGCACUUUCAAAGCUGGGGGCUAUCGAUGGGUUCUGAGGUUCCAUCCCAAUGGUUAUUCCCCGGAGGACGUCGGUUCCAUCUCGGUUUAUCUUGUGCUUGACCAGGAUGUUGCGCGGCCCGUGAAGGUGCAUCUCCAGUUUAGCUUGGUUGAUGAGAUUGGCAAGCAAGAUCAAGCAUUCAUCCGUGCAAUCAAAGCAUGCGACUUCUCUGGCAGCGGCUCUACUUGGGGCCACAGUUGUUUCAUAAAAGGCGAGGACCUUGAGAACUCAGAGCAUCUCAAGGAUGAUUGUUUCACCAUCCGGUGCGAUUUCAUCAUAGCUGAAGAUGAUGCUGCUGCUCCCUUGGUAAAGGUGCCGUCAUCUAACAAGCGAGCAUCUGAGCCAUCUGUUAUUGACCAAGGUUGGCGCCGAUGUGACGUUCCAGGUCGGCCAUGA
Molecule: ribosomal RNA, 618 nt
Filed under: Triticum aestivum (bread wheat)
Lineage: Eukaryota; Viridiplantae; Streptophyta; Magnoliopsida; Poales; Poaceae
Description: partial small subunit ribosomal RNA
Source: RNAcentral